UACGGGAGGCAGCAGUGGGGAAUAUUGCACAAUGGGCGAAAGCCUGAUGCAGCUAUGCCGCGUGUAUGAAGAAGGCCUUAGGGUUGUAAAGUACUUUCAUCGGGGAGGAAAAAACAAAACUAAUAAUUUUAUUUCUUGACGUUACCCGAAAAAGAAGCACCGGCUAACUCCGUGCCAGCAGCCGCGGUAAUACGGAGGGUGCUAGCGUUAAUCAGAAUUACUGGGCGUAAAGAGCACGUAGGUGGUUUUUUUAAGUCAGAUGUGAAAUCCCUGGGCUUAACCUGGAACUGCAUUUUGAAACUGAAAUACUAGAGUAUCGUAGAGGGAGGUAGAAUUCUAGGUGUAGCGGUGAAAUGCGUAGAUAUCUGGAGGAAUACCUGUGGCGAAAGCGGCCUCCUAAACGAAUACUGACACUGAGGUGCGAAAGCGUUGGGGAGCAAACGAGGGAUUUAGGAUAC
This 458-nucleotide ribosomal RNA is filed under the name uncultured bacterium. RNAcentral describes it as "bacterial SSU rRNA". It matches the Rfam family "Bacterial small subunit ribosomal RNA", at positions 340 to 785 of the family's 1533-position model. The record is from RNAcentral.